UUAUUUUCUAUGCUUGAAUGUUAUAUGUAUCUUAAAUACCCAUGGUGCAGGCUUGUGAUGGUUAGCCAAAGCCAUAUUGGUGAGUGGCAAAAUGCUUAUGCAAUUUCUUACUUUUAUGUAGGUGGGCAAAACUGAAUGUGUGGAUUGAUUAGGUGCUAGAGAUAUGCCUUUGAGGCCAAGAUCAAGCAAUGAGAUCCUCCCCUUUAAUUACCAGUGAGAUGGCCUGGCUGGCAUGAAGCAAGGGGGAUCUAAACAUUUGGUAUGUUGAGCAGCAAAAUGUCCAAGGUGCAUAUAGUUGUACAGAAGAGGUGAAGGAAGAAGUGAAGUGCAUCAUGGCCAUCACAGAGAACAGGAAUUCUCGUGGCAGUGUCGAGUGGGGCGGCGGGAUGAUCUGGCCAUGCACGAUGAAGGGUAACUUAGUCAUUUUAUGAAGGAUAUUUUGGGCAGGGGAAAUAUCUUCGAGCAUGCUGUGGAUGCUGUUUCUUUUUCGCUUGGUCGUAUUAGAUGUCAUGCUAUGGUUCGGUUUGCUUAUGAAGAAGCUGCUGCGAAGGUUGUUUCUCUUUCGUUCAGUUGUAUUAAGAUGUCGUCCGGGCUACAUCAUGGCAUGCAUGGCUGCUGAUUUAAGAAACAUCUAGUUUCGGUGAUUUUAAUUAAUCAUGCUAUUGAUCUUAAUUGUAGGCACUUUACCAGCUUAGUAGAUCCUGUCUGAUGGGAGUGCCACUCAAACUUGCAUUGCUUUGUAAGGACAACCACAAUCUUGACUGGUGAAUGCCACUAUUUGCAUCCA
Molecule: long non-coding RNA, 787 nt
Organism: Hordeum vulgare subsp. vulgare (domesticated barley)
Lineage: Eukaryota; Viridiplantae; Streptophyta; Magnoliopsida; Poales; Poaceae
Exons: 4
Source: RefSeq, a predicted model, not a curated record